GUCCCAGCCGCCGCGGUAAUACGGAGGGUGCGAGCGUUAAUCGGAAUUACUGGGCGUAAAGCGCAUGCAGGUGGUUUGUUAAGUCAGAUGUGAAAGCCCGGGGCUCAACCUCGGAAUUGCAUUUGAAACUGGCAGACUAGAGUACUGUAGAGGGGGGUAGAAUUUCAGGUGUAGCGGUGAAAUGCGUAGAGAUCUGAAGGAAUACCGGUGGCGAAGGCGGCCCCCUGGACAGAUACUGACACUCAGAUGCGAAAGCGUGGGGAGCAAACAGGAUUAGAUACCCUGGUAGUCCACGCCGUAAACGAUGUCUACUUGGAGGUUGUGGCCUUGAGCCGUGGCUUUCGGAGCUAACGCGUUAAGUAGACCGCCUGGGGAGUACGGUCGCAAGAUUAAAACUCAAAUGAAUUGACGGGGGCCCGCACAAGCGGUGGAGCAUGUGGUUUAAUUCGAUGCAACGCGAAGAACCUUACCUACUCUUGACAUCCAGAGAACUUUCCAGAGAUGGAUUGGUGCCUUCGGGAACUCUGAGACAGGUGCUGCAUGGCUGUCGUCAGCUCGUGUUGUGAAAUGUUGGGUUAAGUCCCGCAACGAGCGCAACCCUUAUCCUUGUUUGCCAGCGAGUAAUGUCGGGAACUCCAGGGAGACUGCCGGUGAUAAACCGGAGGAAGGUGGGGACGACGUCAAGUCAUCAUGGCCCUUACGAGUAGGGCUACACACGUGCUACAAUGGCGCAUACAGAGGGCAGCCAACUUGCGAGAGUGAGCGAAUCCCAAAAAGUGCGUCGUAGUCCGGAUUGGAGUCUGCAACUCGACUCCAUGAAGUCGGAAUCGCUAGUAAUCGUGGAUCAGAAUGCCACGGUGAAUACGUUCCCGGGCCUUGUACACACCGCCCGUCACACCAUGGGAGUGGGCUGCAAAAGAAGUAGGUAGUUUAACCUUCGGGAGGACGCUUACCACUUUGUGGUUCAUGACUGGGGUGAAGUCGUAACAAGGUAAC
RNAcentral lists this ribosomal RNA (996 nucleotides) under uncultured bacterium. RNAcentral describes it as "bacterial SSU rRNA". It matches the Rfam family "Bacterial small subunit ribosomal RNA", at positions 505 to 1500 of the family's 1533-position model. The record is from RNAcentral.